Molecule: RNase P RNA, 322 nt
Filed under: Flavobacterium piscinae
Lineage: Bacteria; Pseudomonadati; Bacteroidota; Flavobacteriia; Flavobacteriales; Flavobacteriaceae
Description: Bacterial RNase P class A
Rfam family: Bacterial RNase P class A
About the family: Ribonuclease P (RNase P) is a ubiquitous endoribonuclease, found in archaea, bacteria and eukarya as well as chloroplasts and mitochondria. Its best characterised activity is the generation of mature 5'-ends of tRNAs by cleaving the 5'-leader elements of precursor-tRNAs.
Source: Rfam by way of RNAcentral
ACUGCAGACCGCCUUAUCGUCCGCCUAGGCGGAAGGAAAGUCCGGACACCACAGAGUAGCAUAACGGGUAACACCCGUCCGUUCGCUCAGGCGAAUGAGGACCAGUGCAACAGAAAGUAUGUACAGUUCGGCUGUAGUGAAACCAGGUAAACUCUAUGCGGUGAAAUGCCAUGUAAAUCAACGUUCCGCCCCGGCGGAUAAGGGCUACUCGUCCGAGGUUGAAGGGUAGGCAGCUCGAUUCAAUGGGUAACUAUUGAACUAGAUAAAUGAUAAGGGUUCGUUUUGGCGAAUACAGAAUCCGGCUUAUAGGUCUGCUUUUUUU